This 1359-nucleotide ribosomal RNA is filed under the name uncultured bacterium. Its description in RNAcentral is "bacterial SSU rRNA". It matches the Rfam family "Bacterial small subunit ribosomal RNA", at positions 28 to 1381 of the family's 1533-position model. The record is from RNAcentral.
AUUGAACGCUGGCGGCAUGCCUUACACAUGCAAGUCGAACGGCAGCAUGAUCUAGCUUGCUAGAUUGAUGGCGAGUGGCGAACGGGUGAGUAAUACAUCGGAACGUGCCCUGUAGUGGGGGAUAACUAGUCGAAAGAUUAGCUAAUACCGCAUACGACCUGAGGGUGAAAGUGGGGGACCGCAAGGCCUCAUGCUAUAGGAGCGGCCGAUGUCUGAUUAGCUAGUUGGUGGGGUAAAGGCCCACCAAGGCGACGAUCAGUAGCUGGUCUGAGAGGACGAUCAGCCACACUGGGACUGAGACACGGCCCAGACUCCUACGGGAGGCAGCAGUGGGGAAUUUUGGACAAUGGGCGAAAGCCUGAUCCAGCAAUGCCGCGUGUGUGAAGAAGGCCUUCGGGUUGUAAAGCACUUUUGUCCGGAAAGAAAUGGCUCUGGUUAAUACCUGGGGUCGAUGACGGUACCGGAAGAAUAAGGACCGGCUAACUACGUGCCAGCAGCCGCGGUAAUACGUAGGGUCCAAGCGUUAAUCGGAAUUACUGGGCGUAAAGCGUGCGCAGGCGGUUGUGCAAGACCGAUGUGAAAUCCCCGAGCUUAACUUGGGAAUUGCAUUGGUGACUGCACGGCUAGAGUGUGUCAGAGGGGGGUAGAAUUCCACGUGUAGCAGUGAAAUGCGUAGAGAUGUGGAGGAAUACCGAUGGCGAAGGCAGCCCCCUGGGAUAACACUGACGCUCAUGCACGAAAGCGUGGGGAGCAAACAGGAUUAGAUACCCUGGUAGUCCACGCCCUAAACGAUGUCAACUAGUUGUUGGGGAUUCAUUUCCUUAGUAACGUAGCUAACGCGUGAAGUUGACCGCCUGGGGAGUACGGUCGCAAGAUUAAAACUCAAAGGAAUUGACGGGGACCCGCACAAGCGGUGGAUGAUGUGGAUUAAUUCGAUGCAACGCGAAAAACCUUACCUACCCUUGACAUGCCACUAACGAAGCAGAGAUGCAUUAGGUGCUCGAAAGAGAAAGUGGACACAGGUGCUGCAUGGCUGUCGUCAGCUCGUGUCGUGAGAUAUUGGGUUAAGUCCCGCAACGAGCGCAACCCUUGUCUCUAGUUGCUACGAAAGGGCACUCUAGAGAGACUGCCGGUGACAAACCGGAGGAAGGUGGGGAUGACGUCAAGUCCUCAUGGCCCUUAUGGGUAGGGCUUCACACGUCAUACAAUGGUGCAUACAGAGGGUUGCCAAGCCGCGAGGUGGAGCUAAUCCCAGAAAAUGCAUCGUAGUCCGGAUCGUAGUCUGCAACUCGACUACGUGAAGCUGGAAUCGCUAGUAAUCGCGGAUCAGCAUGCCGCGGUGAAUACGUUCCCGGGUCU